CUUGAAGUUCAAGUGUUCAACAUUCUUGAAGUUCAACUGUUCAAGUGCUCAAUUUAUUGUCGAAUUCGGUGCACUCUCUCCAACCCGGACGGGUCAUAAAAUUUGGACCCGGACCCGGCCCGGCCCACCCGUUGGUCACCUAUAGUCUCACCUUAUAUGAUGUUUACUUACCUCUUAUAGCUAGCAUCAUAUUUUAUUUCUUCUGGAUUUCUAUUAAUCCUUCCAAGAAGAAGAUUUAAGUUUUUUUUUUAUAUAUUUAACUGUAGAACACAAAAGCUAAUUAAUACACCUCUAUUCUUUUCAUUCUUUGUUCAAUACAGUGUUUGUGUUUUUGUGAUAUUUCCCUAGUUUAGACAUCAGUUCUUUAAUUUGUUUAACCCAAUAAGUGCAUUUUAUUAUUAUGUAGUAUUUGUCAUCAUUCUAGAUAUUUGUUUAAUAGGUUUCUAAGAGAAUAAAUUAAGGUUCAACAAAUAUGUAGCCAUUGUAAGUUAUUGACCUUAGCACUAAUCAUUUCACGAUAUCAA
Molecule: long non-coding RNA, 524 nt
Filed under: Nicotiana benthamiana
Lineage: Eukaryota; Viridiplantae; Streptophyta; Magnoliopsida; Solanales; Solanaceae
Description: long non-coding RNA (NBEN_LNC012463)
Source: RNAcentral